CCCUUAGAUGUUCGGGGCCGCACGCGCGCUACACUGAAGGAAUCAGCACGUCUUUCUCCUUGUCCGAAAGGACUGGGUAACCCGCUGAACCUCCUUCGUGCUAGGGAUUGGGGCUUGUAAUUCUUCUCCAUGAACGAGGAAUUCCCAGUAAGCGCGAGUCAUAAGCUCGCGUUGAUUACGUCCCUGCCCUUUGUACACACCGCCCGUCGCUACUACCGAUUGGAUGGUUUAGUGAGAUCCUCGGAUUGGUCCCGGAGCGGCCUCUGGUCGUGCCGGAGUGCCGAAAAGAAUGUCGAACUUGAUCAUCUAGAGGAAGUAAAAGUCGUAACA
This 330-nucleotide ribosomal RNA is filed under the name uncultured eukaryote. RNAcentral describes it as "partial 18S ribosomal RNA". It matches the Rfam family "Eukaryotic small subunit ribosomal RNA", at positions 1470 to 1796 of the family's 1831-position model. The record is from RNAcentral.